UACGUAGGGCGCAAGCGUUGUCCGGAAUUAUUGGGCGUAAAGAGCUCGUAGGCGGCCUGUUGCGUCCGCUGUGAAAUCCCGGGGCUUAACCCCGGGUCUGCAGUGGAUACGGGCAGGCUGGAGGCAGGCAGGGGAGAACGGAAUUCCCGGUGUAGCGGUGAAAUGCGCAGAUAUCAGGAGGAACACCGGUGGCGAAGGCGGGUCUCUGGGCCGAUACUGACGCUGAGGAGCGAAAGCGUGGGGAGCGAACAGG
Molecule: ribosomal RNA, 253 nt
Filed under: uncultured bacterium
Lineage: Bacteria
Description: partial 16S ribosomal RNA
Rfam family: Bacterial small subunit ribosomal RNA
Source: RNAcentral